Molecule: ribosomal RNA, 385 nt
Filed under: Meloidogyne enterolobii
Lineage: Eukaryota; Metazoa; Nematoda; Chromadorea; Rhabditida; Meloidogynidae
Description: partial 16S ribosomal RNA
Source: RNAcentral
AUUAUUUUAAGAUUAUUUUUUAUUGUUGAAAAAAUUAAAAAUAAAUUGUUUUUAACAAAAAUUAAAAUUUAUAAUAUUUCAUUUUUUGGUUUUUUGUUUUAAAUUAAAAUAAUAAAUAUGGGGGAAAAAAAAAUUUUGUUAUAAAUUAUAUUAGUUUAUUUUAAUUAAAAAUAUUUUUUAUUAAAUUUGUUUUUUUUAUUUUUUUAUAAAAAAUAUUAAUUUAAUUAUUAUUAUUGAGUUUAAUUUAGUUAUUUUUAAAAAAAUUUUGUAUAAAAUAAAUUUGAUAAUAAAUGUUUUUUAAAUUCUUUGGGGGUUUAGUUUAUGAUUUUUUGUUUCUGCUCAUUGUUAAAUAAAAGCACUUUUAGCGUGAUUGGUCCAAAGGUAA